This 301-nucleotide ribosomal RNA is filed under the name uncultured bacterium. Its description in RNAcentral is "partial 16S ribosomal RNA". It matches the Rfam family "Bacterial small subunit ribosomal RNA", at positions 509 to 807 of the family's 1533-position model. The record is from RNAcentral.
CAGUCGCCGCGGUAACACGUAGGUGGCAAGCGUUGUCCGGAAUUAUUGGGCGUAAAGGGCUCGCAGGCGGUUUCUUAAGUCUGAUGUGAAAGCCCCCGGCUCAACCGGGGAGGGUCAUUGGAAACUGGGAAACUUGAGUGCAGAAGAGGAGAGUGGAAUUCCACGUGUAGCGGUGAAAUGCGUAGAGAUGUGGAGGAACACCAGUGGCGAAGGCGACUCUCUGGUCUGUAACUGACGCUGAGGAGCGAAAGCGUGGGGAGCAAACAGGAUUAGAUACCCCUGUAGUCCCUGUCUCUUAUAC